Long non-coding RNA from Lingula anatina, 1656 nucleotides. The record is from RefSeq and is a predicted model, not a curated record. NCBI's taxonomy places the organism in Eukaryota, Metazoa, Brachiopoda, Lingulata, Lingulida, Lingulidae.
GUGAGAGGUGCUCAGAUAUGACCAAGGUCAGUAGAAGAUGGAGAAGAAGGAUGUCCCAUGCCAUACUGCUACUGCCACACGUAGACCGAAAAGAUGGCACUGAACCCGGCAGCAGUAUCUCUGACACUAAGUACCGUUUAUGAAGAUACCAGAAGCGCCCUACACAGAGACACGUUUGGUGUUCGACACAUACUGGUACAGCCCCACACCCAUGUCAAGAUUGCCUCCUAUGCCGACGUUUGUCUAUUCGUUAAUUUGCAGGGACUACAUUAAUGCUGGGCGGGGAUCAAACACCUGUUUUCUGAAACCAAGUUAGAACUGCAAUCUAAUUGGCUGACUGUAGAAGGCACGUGACUGAUGGAACCACGCCCAGCCUUCAGCCCGUAUUAAGGAACUGGACACACUCAUGCAAACGAGCGCACACGUACAUACAGUUAUAACGAUUGAACAGGUUUAUGAACUGGUGAACUGGCGCGUGAUCUUGUUGUUAUUUUAAAAACGUUUUAGGAUUACAUAUUGAUUUUCUUAAGUUGAAAUGAUUUACUGAUGUAAUUCAUAAGCCAUAUACCUUAGGUAUGAAUCAUAAUUCUUUUUAAUUGUUCCAAACAACUAGCUCAGAUGAAUCUGAUUCCAUUAAAACCCUUUCGGCUACCUCAAACUGUCUACACGAUUAAUUAAACUUUGGGUAUAAAGGUGUUUUUUCAUCGUAUAGUUGGUGUAAUCUCUGGUAAGUUCAUUCUUCAAAGUCGAUUAGCUAUCACAUAUUUUUUUCUUAAUUGACAUUGUAGAAUUGCAUAAUUAAUUUUAGGAGUUUAUUACGAUGUAAUCGUAAACCAACGCGUUACGAAGUAUUUCACCCGAAUAAAAGUACAUUUCUUCUUGGAGUUUUCAAUUUCUAAACAACCCAGAGAUGGUUAUAAAAGUGGUGUUUAUAUACACACGCGUUUUAAAAUAUAUGUUAUCUAGUUCAAAUUGUAUUCUUUGAACUGUUUCAAAACACCUAAAAGAUGGCUUGAAAACUUUGCAAAUUGUCAAAUGAUAUCUUUGCCCAAACUUUGUCCAUGUAUUGAGAUCACUGUUCAUGUGAUGCAGUGCCUUACGUCGCGCAUUAAGUUUUCACGUGAAUUUUUCAACUACCGAUUGUUAUUUUAUAAAUAGAUAUAGUAUUUAAUUUCAGUUUCGCCGUGGUCUAUCUUAUUAACAGUGCUGAAACAUAACAGCUAAUUUAAACGAGAAAUUAAGAUAUGCUGUAGAUUUCUUCUAAUUUAUCAUAUACCGCACUUUGAUAAAACCAAUUCUUCUUAUAACAAAUAACUCCAUUUUAUAUUAUUAGCCUUCAUCCUUGUAUGCAUAUUCUAUGGAAAUUCUAACAUUACUUGUGAAACAACGUUUGAAUCUGAAACCAAAAUCAGAAAGAAAGACUAACAUUUUGAAACAAUGCACCUUGUAUGUGCAAAAAUCCAUUUUUCUGUUUUGCAAGAGUGUGUGUAUCUUUCCAUCAAAAUAGUUGCGUUUCUACUGAAUAAAAAAAUAUGCAUUAAAUUGUUUUUACAUGCAAUCUAUUAAAACUUGGGUUCAGUUUCAUUAUCAUGCGUACUGCACGUUCAAAGUUUUUUUCCUAUUGAUACUUUCAAAAUGUAGUCUGAUUCUGCAAUC